Non-coding RNA from Trametes maxima, 88 nucleotides. NCBI's taxonomy places the organism in Eukaryota, Fungi, Basidiomycota, Agaricomycetes, Polyporales, Polyporaceae. The record is from the annotation of a GenBank genome assembly.
UGCCCCGUGGCUGAGUUGGUUACAGCGUCCGACUGUUACUUUGGCACGGUCAAUCGGAAGGUCGUGAGUUCGAGCCUCACCGGGGCAG